This 1554-nucleotide ribosomal RNA is filed under the name Klebsiella pneumoniae. RNAcentral describes it as "bacterial SSU rRNA". It matches the Rfam family "Bacterial small subunit ribosomal RNA". Lineage: Bacteria; Pseudomonadati; Pseudomonadota; Gammaproteobacteria; Enterobacterales; Enterobacteriaceae. The record is from RNAcentral.
ACUUAAAUUGAAGAGUUUGAUCAUGGCUCAGAUUGAACGCUGGCGGCAGGCCUAACACAUGCAAGUCGAGCGGUAGCACAGAGAGCGUGCUCUCGGGUGACGAGCGGCGGACGGGUGAGUAAUGUCUGGGAAACUGCCUGAUGGAGGGGGAUAACUACUGGAAACGGUAGCUAAUACCGCAUAACGUCGCAAGACCAAAGUGGGGGACCUUCGGGCCUCAUGCCAUCAGAUGUGCCCAGAUGGGAUUAGCUAGUAGGUGAGGUAACGGCUCACCUAGGCGACGAUCCCUAGCUGGUCUGAGAGGAUGACCAGCCACACUGGAACUGAGACACGGUCCAGACUCCUACGGGAGGCAGCAGUGGGGAAUAUUGCACAAUGGGCGCAAGCCUGAUGCAGCCAUGCCGCGUGUGUGAAGAAGGCCUUCGGGUUGUAAAGCACUUUCAGCGGGGAGGAAGGCGUUAAGGUUAAUAACCUUGGCGAUUGACGUUACCCGCAGAAGAAGCACCGGCUAACUCCGUGCCAGCAGCCGCGGUAAUACGGAGGGUGCAAGCGUUAAUCGGAAUUACUGGGCGUAAAGCGCACGCAGGCGGUCUGUCAAGUCGGAUGUGAAAUCCCCGGGCUUAACCUGGGAACUGCAUUCGAAACUGGCAGGCUAGAGUCUUGUAGAGGGGGGUAGAAUUCCAGGUGUAGCGGUGAAAUGCGUAGAGAUCUGGAGGAAUACCGGUGGCGAAGGCGGCCCCCUGGACAAAGACUGACGCUCAGGUGCGAAAGCGUGGGGAGCAAACAGGAUUAGAUACCCUGGUAGUCCACGCCGUAAACGAUGUCGAUUUGGAGGUUGUGCCCUUGAGGCGUGGCUUCCGGAGCUAACGCGUUAAAUCGACCGCCUGGGGAGUACGGCCGCAAGGUUAAAACUCAAAUGAAUUGACGGGGGCCCGCACAAGCGGUGGAGCAUGUGGUUUAAUUCGAUGCAACGCGAAGAACCUUACCUGGUCUUGACAUCCACAGAACUUAGCAGAGAUGCUUUGGUGCCUUCGGGAACUGUGAGACAGGUGCUGCAUGGCUGUCGUCAGCUCGUGUUGUGAAAUGUUGGGUUAAGUCCCGCAACGAGCGCAACCCUUAUCCUUUGUUGCCAGCGGUCCGGCCGGGAACUCAAAGGAGACUGCCAGUGAUAAACUGGAGGAAGGUGGGGAUGACGUCAAGUCAUCAUGGCCCUUACGACCAGGGCUACACACGUGCUACAAUGGCAUAUACAAAGAGAAGCGACCUCGCGAGAGCAAGCGGACCUCAUAAAGUAUGUCGUAGUCCGGAUUGGAGUCUGCAACUCGACUCCAUGAAGUCGGAAUCGCUAGUAAUCGUAGAUCAGAAUGCUACGGUGAAUACGUUCCCGGGCCUUGUACACACCGCCCGUCACACCAUGGGAGUGGGUUGCAAAAGAAGUAGGUAGCUUAACCUUCGGGAGGGCGCUUACCACUUUGUGAUUCAUGACUGGGGUGAAGUCGUAACAAGGUAACCGUAGGGGAACCUGCGGUUGGAUCACCUCCUUACCUUAAAGAA